Molecule: long non-coding RNA, 1073 nt
Organism: Pantherophis guttatus
Lineage: Eukaryota; Metazoa; Chordata; Lepidosauria; Squamata; Colubridae
Source: RefSeq, a predicted model, not a curated record
CCCUAGCCAGCUUGCUGCUGGCUGGGGAAUUCUGGGAGUUGAAGUCCUCCAGGCUUAAAGUUGCCAAGGUUGGAGACCCCUGGUCUAUACUGUUGAUCUCUAAUAAGACCAGAAGAAGAAAAAAUCGUCUCAAGAAAUUUUACGGUUAUCAUCCACACCAGGGACUAGCAACCGAAGGGGUGCUUACUCAACUGAAGUAAGUCCAGUUGAUCUAAAUGGGGCUCCUUUGUUUGUAAGCAUGGCUUGAAUGGCAGCCUCGGUCUUGUGUCCAAGGCAGAGCUCCUCGUUGUGUUUUCUCUUCUGCUCAGGUGGGACACCUUCGUGCGUUCCUGGGAUUCAUCUGUGCCGCAUCUUGUCGUUUCGAAAUACAGUGCUAUGGGAUCCUGCCGGAGUCUUCCAGAAAGGUCUCCUCUCCCAGACGGCACUGUAAUCCCAGGAUUCCUCAGUCUGAAGAACAGAAAUGCUGUCCCAAAGAGCUAUUUCAGUAGGUCUUUUUAAGAUGCAAAACCUUGCACUCUUUGAUUAUUAUGCAGGAUAUUUUUGUAUGUGUUUUAAAAAAGAAAACGCAGCUAGGAAAAAAUGCUUUCUGCUCGGUUGGUUUUAAAAUUCAUCACAGUCUGCUCACAUGUUGAAUCCCAAGCGUAGACAUUUUCCAAAUGAAGGGGGGGGAAAGCCACAGAAACAUUUAUCCUCCGAGCUGUGGACUUUAUAUGCUGAUUAUUAAGGGGUUGGAAGGGAACAUGAAGAAUGAAAAUAGCGCUUCUGUUACGUUGGUAGAGAUCAAGCUUUCCAACAAGCUCCUGGAAGUUUGGACUACAAUGACCAUUGUCCCCAGCUUGACAGCCUGUAUAUAGGGUAUGAUAGGAACUAUAGUCUAGCAUAGUAUGAGAUUGCCAGUGGUUGGUUUUGUUCAUUGAACCGAACAAGACUUAAAAAUUCAGGAGUCCUUGUGUAGAUUAUAGGGAAAGUCCAAAUGCUUGAGGAAGAUGAAGAAAUACAAAGAGCAAAUACAUUUGUGGCAAGCUAAGCCAUUCUUUGUACGUGAACAACACAAAUAAAUUUUUUUAAAAUUC